UUUCCGUAGGUGAACCUGCGGAAGGAUCAUUCAUAAUAAGUGUUUUUUGGCUCUUUUUUAAAUCCAUAUCCACCUUGUGUGCGAUGUCAGGGUUGAUUUUUGUCUCGAGAGGAUCAGCCGCAAACAUCAACUAUAUCUCAACUCUUUGUCUGAAAAAUAAUAUGAAUAAAACAAUUCAAAAUACAACUUUCAACAACGGAUCUCUUGGCUCUC
RNAcentral lists this unclassified non-coding RNA (213 nucleotides) under plant metagenome. RNAcentral's name for it is "partial contains small subunit ribosomal RNA, internal transcribed spacer 1, and 5.8S ribosomal RNA". The record is from RNAcentral.